RNAcentral lists this ribosomal RNA (388 nucleotides) under uncultured bacterium. Its description in RNAcentral is "bacterial SSU rRNA". It matches the Rfam family "Bacterial small subunit ribosomal RNA", at positions 1142 to 1529 of the family's 1533-position model. The record is from RNAcentral.
GGAGGGACUGCCGGGGACAACCCGGAGGAAGGUGGGGACGACGUCAAAUCAUCAUGCCCCUUAUGGCCUGGGCUACACACGUGCUACAAUGGCGUAAACAGAGGGAGGCAGCCCCGCGAGGGUGAGCAAACCCCAAAAAUAACGUCCCAGUUCGGAUUGCAGUCUGCAACUCGACUGCAUGAAGCUGGAAUCGCUAGUAAUCGCGGAUCAGAAUGCCGCGGUGAAUACGUUCCCGGGUCUUGUACACACCGCCCGUCACACCAUGGGAGUUGGUAACGCCCGAAGUCAGUGACCUAACCGAAAGGGAGGAGCUGCCGAAGGUGGGACCAGUGACUGGGGUGAAGUCGUAACAAGGUAGCCGUAUCGGAAGGUGCGGCUGGAUCACCUC